RNAcentral lists this ribosomal RNA (391 nucleotides) under uncultured bacterium. Its description in RNAcentral is "bacterial SSU rRNA". It matches the Rfam family "Bacterial small subunit ribosomal RNA", at positions 362 to 757 of the family's 1533-position model. The record is from RNAcentral.
UAUUGCGCAAUGGACGAAAGUCUGACGCAGCGACGCCGCGUGGGGGAUGAAGGUCUUCGGAUUGUAAACCCCUUUCGGGAGGGAAGAUGGAGUGGGUAACCACUUGGACGGUACCUCCAGAAGCAGCCACGGCUAACUUCGUGCCGGCAGCCGCGGUAAUACGAAGGUGGCAAGCGUUGUUCGGAUUCACUGGGCGUACAGGGAGCGUAGGCGGUUGGGUAAGCCCUCCGUGAAAUCUCCGGGCCUAACCCGGAAAGUGCAGAGGGGACUGCUCAGCUAGAGGAUGGGAGAGGAGCGCGGAAUUCCCGGUGUAGCGGUGAAAUGCGUAGAGAUCGGGAGGAAGGCCGGUGGCGAAGGCGGCGCUCUGGAACAUUCUGACGCUGAGGCCGAA